ACAUAAUGAACAGCAAGGAAAAACGAGAGACGAAAGGAAGGGGGACCCAUGACGAGUGCUGGAUUGAUGUACAAGAAAUAAAGUUCCAUAAGGUGGAAAACUGGGCUAGUUGGUACGGUUGCAUACUUAACAAGCAGCGUGAAAAGAAUGAGAGAUGAAAGAAGGGAGGACCCAAGACAAGUGCUGGAUUGAUGUACAAGAAAUAAAGUUCCAUAAGGUGGAAAACUGGGCUAGUUGGUACGGUUGCAUACUUAACGAAUAGCACUGAAAAACGAGAGAUGAAAGGAAGGAGGACCCAAGACGAGUGCUGGAUUGAUGUACAAGAAAUAACAUUUCAUAACGUGGAAAACUGGGCUAGUUGGUACGAUUGCAUACUUAACGAACAGAGCAGAAAAAAGAGAGAUGAAAGGAAAGAGGACCCAAGACGAGUGCUGGAUUGAUGUAUAAGAAAUAACGUUCCAUAACAUGGAAAACUGAGCUAGUUGGUACGGUUGCAUACUUAACGAACAGCGCAGAAAAAAGAGAGAUGAAAGGAAAGAGGACCCAAGAUGAGUGCUGGAUUGAUGUAUAAGAAAUAACGUUCCAUAACAUGGAAAACUGGGCUAGUUGGUACGGUUGCAUACUUAACGAACAGCGCAGAAAAAAGAGAGAUGAAAGGAAGGAGGACCCAAGACGAGUGCUGGAUUGAUGUAUAAGAAAUAACGUUCCAUAACGUGGAAAACUGGGCUAGUUGGUACGGUUGCAUACUUAACGAACAGUGCAGAAAAAUGAGAGAUGAAAGGAAGGAGGACUCAAGACGAGUGCUGGAUUCAUGUACAAGAAAUAAAGUUCCAUAAGGUGGAAAACUGGGCUAGUUGUUACGGUUGCAUACUUAACGAACAAAGGCGAGUGCUGGAUCGAUGUACAAGAAAUAAAGUUCUAUAAGGGGAAAAACUGGGCUAGUUGGUACGGUUGCAUACUUAAUCAGCGUGAAGAAAACAAGAGAAGAAAGGAAGGAGGACCCAGGAUGCUGGCUUGACAUACAAGAAAUAUUACAGUAGGUUAGAAAAUUGGUCUAGUUGGUACGGUUGUAUACUUAACAAACAGUGCGAAAAAAAAAUGAGAGACGAAGGAAGAAGGGGAUGGGAUGAGGGCUGGACUGAUGUGCAACUGAAGUUUAUUUCUUGUACAUCGGGCCAGCUUUGAUUGUAGCACUCUUAAGGGCUCCCUUCCCUACCCACCCAUUUUCUUAACGCCGGUGUGCUAGGGAACUAUGAUCUAUAGCUGCUGGUUGCCAUGAAAAGCACGUGCAUCCCUUUCAUUGGUGGCAGUGAAGGGAAGCGGUGGGUCGUCUGGCAUGAUAAGGCUAUGGUUGAAGUAAACGCUGCUGCUGCUUACAUUCGCAGGGGAAAAAAUGAGGCAGUAAUUUUUUAAGCUAUUUAAAGAGUCUUUAACGAUAGAAGGGGAAUCUUAAGGGCUUGUUUUUCUUUUUUAGACACCACGUUAAUGAGAACUAACAGACAAUCAAGCCAGGGAAAGUAUAGGGGACGUUAUUAGUAGUA
Rhipicephalus sanguineus (brown dog tick) is the source of this 1541-nucleotide long non-coding RNA. RefSeq lists it as uncharacterized. Lineage: Eukaryota; Metazoa; Arthropoda; Arachnida; Ixodida; Ixodidae. The transcript has 3 exons. The record is from RefSeq and is a predicted model, not a curated record.